Molecule: ribosomal RNA, 441 nt
Filed under: uncultured bacterium
Lineage: Bacteria
Description: partial 16S ribosomal RNA
Rfam family: Bacterial small subunit ribosomal RNA
Source: RNAcentral
CCUACGGGUGGCAGCAGUGGGGAAUAUUGCACAAUGGGGGAAACCCUGAUGCAGCGACGCCGCGUGGGUGACGAAGUAUUUCGGUAUGUAAAGCCCUAUCAGCAGGGAAGAAGAUGACAGUACCUGACCAAGACGCCCCGGCUAACUACGUGCCAGCAGCCGCGGUAAUACGUAGGGGGCAAGCGUUAUCCGGAUUUACUGGGUGUAAAGGGAGCGUAGGUGGCAUGGCAAGCCAGAAGUGAAAACCCGGGGCUUAACCCCGCGGAUUGCUUUUGGAACUGUCAGGCUGGAGUGCAGGAGGGGCAGGCGGAAUUCCUGGUGUAGCGGUGAAAUGCGUAGAUAUCAGGAGGAACACCGGUGGCGAAGGCGGCCUGCUGGACUGUAACUGACACUGAGGCUCGAAAGCGUGGGGAGCAAACAGGAUUAGAUACCCCAGUAGUC